AUUUUAUUAGUAUAAUAAGUACAAAUGACUUCCAAUCAUUAAGUUAAAAAAUUAAUAAAAUA
This 62-nucleotide transfer RNA is filed under the name Glomeridesmus spelaeus. Its description in RNAcentral is "tRNA-Gly". The record is from RNAcentral. Lineage: Eukaryota; Metazoa; Arthropoda; Diplopoda; Glomeridesmida; Glomeridesmidae.